ACCACAUCCAUCUGAAGCUUGCUUAUGUGGAAGCAGAGCUGGCCAGGCCAAGACAGCUUGAGAGGAGCUUCCCAUGGCCUCAGGGGUGAUGAGCACUGCUUGUUGCAGCUGAGGAGGCUGCAUCAGCAACACCAACCUGGGAAGUGGGGACCUGCCUGGAGCGAUGCGGUGAGGCAUUCUGAAAGGAGCAUUAAUCUUGCCUGGAAGGGCCGACCUGCUGGCAGCCGAUUCAUCAGCAACACUCCCUGGAAGCUGCUGGCCCACACUUUUCGUCAGUGGUGGGUGGCAAGCUUGUAAUUCAGCUGAGUUUCUCCUCGGUGAUGCUAGAAAACCAACAGAAUGCAAGGAGACAGAAGAUCUCUGCGUUUCAUACAAAUACCUCAUUAUAUCUUGUAGCAGAAGUUACUAAAAUCCUUUCUCACCCUUAAUAUCAAAGAACAGGAUAUGCUUACUCACUCCGAGUUAUUGGAACAUGAACUGUGCACUUACAAAUAAAAUUUAAUACCCAGUUUCCUAUGGAGAUACA
This 526-nucleotide long non-coding RNA is filed under the name Anas platyrhynchos platyrhynchos (common mallard). RNAcentral's name for it is "lncRNA (ENSAPLG00000029804.1)". The record is from RNAcentral. Lineage: Eukaryota; Metazoa; Chordata; Aves; Anseriformes; Anatidae.